RNAcentral lists this ribosomal RNA (433 nucleotides) under uncultured bacterium. RNAcentral describes it as "partial 16S ribosomal RNA". It matches the Rfam family "Bacterial small subunit ribosomal RNA", at positions 29 to 507 of the family's 1533-position model. The record is from RNAcentral.
AACGAACGCUGGCGGCAUGCCUAACACAUGCGAGUCGAACGAGACCUUCGGGUCUAGUGGCGCACGGGUGCGUAACGCGUGGGAACCUGCCCUUAGGUUCGGAAUAACUCCCCGAAAGGGGUGCUAAUACCGGAUAAUGUCUUCGGACCAAAGAUUUAUCGCCUUUGGAUGGGCCCGCGUUGGAUUAGCUAGUUGGUAGGGUAAAAGCCUACCAAGGCGACGAUCCAUAGCUGGUCUGAGAGGAUGAUCAGCCACACUGGGACUGAGGCACGGCCCAGACUCCUACGGGAGGCAGCAGUGGGGAAUAUUGGACAAUGGGCGAAAGCCUGAUCCAGCAAUGCCGCGUGAGUGAUGAAGGCCUUAGGGUUGUAAAGCUCUUUUACCCGGGAUGAUAAUGACAGUACCGGGAGAAUAAGCGCCGGCUAACUCCGUG